This 261-nucleotide ribosomal RNA is filed under the name uncultured bacterium. Its description in RNAcentral is "partial small subunit ribosomal RNA". It matches the Rfam family "Bacterial small subunit ribosomal RNA", at positions 26 to 288 of the family's 1533-position model. The record is from RNAcentral.
AGGACGAACGCUGGCGGCGUGCUUAACACAUGCAAGUCGAACGGUAAGGCCCUUUCGGGGGUACACGAGUGGCGAACGGGUGAGUAACACGUGAGUAACCUGCCCUUGACUCUGGGAUAACAGUUGGAAACAGCUGCUAAUACCGGAUAUUCAACCCUUGGGGCAUCUUGGGGGUUGGAAAGUUCUGGCGGUCAAGGAUGGACUCGCGGCCUAUCAGCUUGUUGGUGAGGUAAUGGCUCACCAAGGCGUCGACGGGUAGCC